This 1152-nucleotide ribosomal RNA is filed under the name uncultured microorganism. Its description in RNAcentral is "bacterial SSU rRNA". It matches the Rfam family "Bacterial small subunit ribosomal RNA", at positions 228 to 1398 of the family's 1533-position model. The record is from RNAcentral.
GGAUUGCGUCCUAUCAGCUUGUUGGCGGGGUAAUGGCCCACCAAGGCUUUUGACGGGUAGCUGGUCUGAGAGGAUGGUCAGCCAAAUUGGGACUAAGACACUCACCAGACUCCUACGGGAGGCUGCAGUCGAGAAUUCUUGCAAUGCCCGAAAGGGUGACAAUGCGACGCCGCGUGUGCGAUGAAGGUCUUCGGAUUGAAAAGCACGUCAGUCGGAAUGAAGGUGGCUCUGUCGAACAGACGGAGUUGCUUGACAGUACCGGCAGAGGAAGCCACGGCUAACUCCGUGCCAGCAGCCGCGGUAAUACGGAGUGGCAGGCGUUACUCGGAUUGAUUGGGUGUAAAGGGCGUGUAGGUGGUGAAUUAAGUCGAUUGUAAAAUCCCUUGGCUUAACCAAGGAACUGCAUUCGAAACUGAUUCGCUUGAGUGAUGGAGAGGUAAGUGGAAUUCCCGGUGUAACAGUGAAAUGUGUAGAUAUCGGGAGGAACACCAGUGGCGAAGGCGACUUACUGGCUGUCUACUGACACUGAAACGCGAGAGCUAGGGGAGCAAACAGGAUUAGAUACCCUGGUAGUCCUAGCCGUAAACGAUGUUCACUAGGUGUCGGGCCCUCUGGGUUCGGUGCCGCCGUUAACACAUUAAGUGAACCACCUGGGGAGUACGGUCGCAAGACUGAAACUCAAAGGAAUUGACGGGGACCCGCACAAGCGGUGGAGCAUGUGGUUUAAUACGACGCUACGCGUGGAACCUUACCAAGGCUUGACAUGUAUAUGAAAUCUCAGCGAAAGCUGAGACCUGUCCUAAAGACACAUUUACACAGGUGUUGCAUGGCUGUCGUCAGCUCGUGUCGUGAGAUGUUGGGUUAAGUCCCGCACGAGCGCAACCCUCGUCGUUAGUUGCCACUCCGCAGGAGAGCACUCUAGCGAUACUGCCAGUGUUACUGCAGAGUGGGGAUGACGUCAAGUCAGUACGCCUAUGCCUGGCCUACAACGUGCUACAUCCCCCUACAAGAGACGCAAGACGUAGUGGAGCAAAUCUCAAAAGCGCCCAGUCGAAUGAGCUGCACUGCCCUAAUGAAGCCGGAAUCGCUAGUAAUCGCGCAUCAGCCACGGCGCGAUGAAUACGUUCCCGGGUCUUGUACACACCGCCCGUC